Molecule: long non-coding RNA, 216 nt
Filed under: Mytilus galloprovincialis (Mediterranean mussel)
Lineage: Eukaryota; Metazoa; Mollusca; Bivalvia; Mytilida; Mytilidae
Source: RNAcentral
AAACAGAGUCAAAAUGACGAGGUUGUAAGCAACUAUAGGUAACCGUGUACCCUUCAACAAUAAUCAAGUACCGAUUGCAAGCUGUAAAGCACCAAUAUUUCAAAAUGUAAAACAAUUAAAAUGAAAAAUCUUAUCGCCGGAUUUAUAAAAAAGAAAAGAAAUGAAAAUUAAGUAUGACAGACAUCAAUCAAUGACAACUGACUCGUACAUUGCAAG